Non-coding RNA from Lolium perenne, 1369 nucleotides. The record is from RefSeq and is a predicted model, not a curated record. Lineage: Eukaryota; Viridiplantae; Streptophyta; Magnoliopsida; Poales; Poaceae.
CUUCUUGGUCGUGGAUAAUCAUCGAUACUAAUUACUCUGCCACCGCGACGUAUGGACUCCUCGCCAUAAAUGCUUCCAGGUUAAAAACCUACCCGUGCUGCAAUCGGCAUCACGCACACCAGCAUGCUCACUUCGCCUCCAGUGGCACCGGUCUCCACAUAGUUGCGCUCCAGCUCGAAAGCUGCUCCACGUUUUGCCCCUCCACACGAUUUGAUUGCAUCUCGCUCAAGCCCACUAAUUUGUUGGAUUCCGCAUGCAAGCGAGUUUAUUGGAUUCUGCGUCUUAAUCGUUGAAGCUAUGAGAAAGCAGCGAUCAUCACGUUUGCUGCCUACGGACGCUGUAACAUGUAUUUGCUACCCUGGAGUCUCCGCUGAUUCUCUCCAGAAAUUUUCAGGAGUUGGGUUAAGGCUAUCUCAGGACCCAAGUUAAGCUACCCUAUAUGCAACUAGGGUUGAUGGCACUGUAUGUUCAUCCUUUGAUCUGAAUUUUAUAUGGUGCUUUUAUCCAACAUGCAAUUUAGGUAACUGGUGUUUUUAUGAAGCUUGAGAAACAAAUACAGAUCCACUAUUGCAAAGAAUAUUUGAAUGACCGGUGAUUUCUAUGUAUUUGAUUGGAUUUCUAAUGAAGUUCAGUUAGAUCAGUUUCUAUCGUUAUGGGAAGAGAUCCAGUCUGUCUUUUUGCUUGACACUCAAAAAUCCUCCCUGAACCUCUCCGCGCAUGGUGUUUAUUCAGCAAAGAGUGCUUAUGAAGCUCGGUUUUUUCGCAAAAUUCAUUCCAUGAACUUGCUAGAGCUGAACCUAAAGUGCAAUUAUUCCUCCGGUUGCUGUCUUUGAACCAUCUUAUGGACUUCUGACAAGGUGCUACAUUGCUGCUUCUGUGAUGACGCGUUAGAAUCUGAUGUGCACCUAUUUCUUGGGUGCCCCUUUACGAAAUUGAUUUGGUAGCCCCAACCCAGAUUGUUCCCAUUGCCUUCAACUCAAACUAUAUUGCCAGUUGGUCGGCGCAAUGUCUAAAAGAACGGAAGAAGCAUCAUACAAAUCAUUAGCUUUCAGCCGUUGUGUAUAUUAUUUGGCAUAUAUUGAAGACUAGAAGCCGACGUGUCCUCGACUACAAGAAAUUUUGCUGGAUAGGAUUGCCCAUCUGGCCUAAGAUGAUCUGUUGGCUGGGUUAGAUUUUAGAGGACUAAUAACUGCCUGUUAUUUUUGUUUCGUUUUUCUCUUUGUUUCUCCCAGGCUGCUUAAGCCUCUGUACAGUUAUACCCCAUCUAUAGUACGGUACAUCACUGUAUUUCGAUGGUAACAAAUAAUAGUUGACAGUCUCUUUCACAUAUUUCUUUUUUCUCUUACAACUAUGAGAUUAUGCCACGUUU